RNAcentral lists this long non-coding RNA (3836 nucleotides) under Mus musculus (house mouse). RNAcentral describes it as "long non-coding RNA chr3:97637164-97641000". The record is from RNAcentral. Lineage: Eukaryota; Metazoa; Chordata; Mammalia; Rodentia; Muridae.
UGUUGGUGCAUAUGUCUGUCACUAAUGCUUGGGAGAAGCUCCAAGCAUUUUUUUUUUUAAACUCAGGAACUAUAGAGCCUUAGGGCCUAGACCAAGAGACCUAGCAAUUUAUAUUUGUUCUAAGAGCAAAAGGCAGUGCAUUAGAUUGUCUCCUCAUUUUUGUAGCCUGCCUCAUUGGCAUCUGUGGAGUAUGUGAAUCAAAUAUUCAUACAGAUGGUGCCCGUGACAGCCCUUCAUGUAACAUGCUGUAGGGAGUUGUCUCAGGGGAGACAUACACUCUAUAGGCUGUGGCUACAGAUCCCUGUCACUUUUUUAGACUACAGUGUGCAGCGUGAAGAAGCAGCCUGAUUUCUCUACCUCGGGCCAAUGGCAGGUGGUCACUGAGUGUGAAGGGAAACAGCAGGUAGACGUCUUCGAUGGAGUCCUGGUGUGCACGGGUCAUCACACGGAUGCUCACCUGCCCCUGGAAAGCUUUCCUGGUGAGUAACCCAUCCUGAGAGAAGAUGUUGCAGCCAUGGCUAUGAUAUGACCUCUGAGGACUGGGAGGGGUGUGGUCUUAGUGACUCUUACUGUGGGGUUUAAAAAUAAAGUCUUACUCUAGUUAAAUACAUCCCCCUGUAUUUUGUAACUUGUACUACUGCCAUUUUGAAAGUGGAAAGAAUUACAGUUUGGAAGGCUAGAGGAAGAUUAGAGGUCAGUCUAUCGUCAUGAGCCACAAAUGUCAUCUUUGUCAAGGAAUGACUGCAUACACAAUGUUAACCCCAUAUCACUGUAUCAGAGCUGAAUGUGUCCCGUUGUCUAGUAAGGGCUUAGCUACUGUGAUACUGAAGUAGGAGACACUGUUUCUGGUGAGACUGGUCUACCAAUCUACUGCACUGUCAAGUUAUUUAAAAUUAUAACAUGUAUACCUGUUAAAUACAUAAUACUGGGCAGUAAGCAACUUAAUGGUUAUACGUUUACAGUACUAUAUUUUGCACAACCCUAUGUAUUUGAAAUUUGUGCUAUACAAUCAUAGACCAUAUUAUACCAACAGUAGCCUCACAUACGCAUGUGUACUGUGUCUUUUGACUGACCUGUGCCAUCGAGGCAUGUAUGUAUCUGUCCAAUGAUGAAAUCCAUCUUUAACCUGCUUCUCAGAAUGACAGAACCCCUGUCCAAUAGCACAGGACUGUACUUAAAUUCAUGGUGAUUGUGUUUUCCCAAGAACCAAAGAGAAGCUGGAGUCUCUGAUUUGUACUAAUUGGAAUUAGAGAUUUUUUUUCUUCAAUUGAAGAAAACUAUGGAAAUAUUGAAUUUCUAAGAAUGAAGCAAAAGCUUAAAGCAUUUCAUUUCAUGUUUCUGGCCUGAACUUUUCCCUUUAAAAAUACAUUCUACAUAUGCCCAAUGUGCACGUACAAGGGUGGGGGGUGAACAGAUGAAGGAGAAGGGAGGGUUUCUGCGGCCUCAGGACUUGCAUCUGCAAAUCAAAAUGCAGAUGAUUUAUAGCAGGGAAAUCACAAAGGCAACGAGAGAAGAAAGAAGCAAAAUUGUUCAGAAAGGCAAGAAGAGUUGCUUAAUAAAGGAGAAUUUGGAAAUACACGUUUAAACUUUAAAAUUCACAAAAGAGAACACAACACGUGCUUUGACAAAUAAUAUCCUUCAUUCAAACAGGCCUCUCCCCCCUCUCCCAAUAAUUAAUUUUUUCUUCUCUUCUAGGAAUUGAAAAGUUCAAAGGAAAGUACUUUCACAGCCGAGACUAUAAGAACCCAGUGGAAUUCACCGGGAAGAGGGUCAUUGUAAUUGGCAUUGGGAAUUCUGGAGGGGAUCUGGCUGUAGAGAUUAGCCACACAGCCAAGCAGGUUUGCAUUGAUGAUUGGUUUACUUUACUUCACUCUUACCAAGGAAGUAGGCCCACCAACAAAUAUCGAGACCACCCAUGCCCCACCCACUCCAGCAGCAAACACAUGGGGCUUGUUUGCUGCCCAAGUUUCAGCAAGCCUGGGUGCUGAGUGCUAAACUUGGGUCUUCCGUGACAGCAGCAGGUAUUCUUAAACACUGAGUCAUCUCUCCAGCCCAGCAUAAUUUUGUGAAGAGAAAUUUUUUUGUGUGUUUAUGUAAUUAUUUCCUAAUAAGUGUAGAAUUAACUCAUGGGCUAAAGUAGGAAAUCACCUCCAUGAUUAGGCACAGAAACAGUACUGAGAAGCGGUGUUAUGGGGCAGAGUUGCUAAGCAAAAAUCAUUUAACCAAACCGUAGCAUUAAGGAUUUUUCUUAAAGUAUUUGAAGCUUAUUUGUAGAGAAACGUCGUCAUCACAUUUACUGAGUCGGCAUUUCCCUGUUGCCAAUAAAGUAGUGACUCGAUGAUGAGACAGGACUAUAUUGAUGAAAUUAUUUCCUUACGUAGCCCUUUAAAAAUAAGAUUUAUAACUCUGUUGCUUAUUGUAGAAAGGUAGAGAUGGGAAACUGAAGUUAAAGCUUAACUUCCUGUCUAUCACUGUUUACAAAAACACCGUUUCUCACAGUGACCUUGGGAUAUAUGUUGUUGCUGUCACAGCUGAGUCAAUGGGGAACUUCUCAAUUCCACCUCUGAGCACUGACCUGACUUGUCCUAAGGUGUGCAGCUUGUACACAGAACCAUCCGGUCCCUAGGAGCCGUGUGCUUUCAUGUGUGACGUGCAGAAGCAUUUGGUGCACAAGCCCUUGGGUUACCACCGGUGAAAAUGUUCAUGGGGAAGAAAGGAUCCUCCCUCUGCAGACAGGCAGCCCGUUGCUUGGGAGCCCACACCAAAGACCUUGAUGGAGCAUACAUUUCCUACAGCUCUAGAAACCACUGCAGACCAGAAAUAAUGAUCUUGCUGGUAAUUGAACACAGCUUGUAGUCAGUUUUGAACAUGGACUUUGGCCAGUGGGCAACACAGGAAGGCUGUCUCCUAUAAUUCCACUAGCAGCCUUCAGUCAGGGAAAUAGUUCUUAGACAUGGCAGGAAGGUCACCUUUGCUGCGUUCUAGCUAUAUGAUAUCAGGAUGUGUGGUCUGCCCUCUCUGUGCCUCUCAUCCAUAAGUGGGGAUGGCAGUGCCUUCCUUAAGAGCACUGUCGAUUAAAUUAAAAUGUGAAGGGCCGGUCACACAGCUUACUUAUAGGUCACAAAUAUUAGUAAGGAGUGCUACCAACAUGCUGGGAGAUUGUGCACAGGCUAUAGCUCUGCAGAAACACACUCAGAGGUCAAGAGUUAUAAAUAAGUGAGAUCGAAAGUUAUGAUAGUUCUAAUGGGGUUAUUGGUAGGAGUGGUAUAAUAUAAACUAUAUGAAUGAUAAACAAGGGUUUGUAACACCACAAGAAAUGUCAGCAGCAAAAAUGACUGAGGGUUUUGGAUGAAAUGAUAUGCAGUUACUCUCAGCUUUACUGUUUUGUAGUUGUUUUGUUUUGUUUUGUUUUCUCUCACUGCUUUACAGUUGUCUGUUCUGUGCGGGGUAGGAGUGGCACACAUGGAGCAAUGCAUGUGUGGGGGGCAGAGGACAUCCCAUAGGAUCUGGUUCUCUCCUUCCACCAUGUAGGUCUCAGGGUGGAACUUAGGUUGCUGGGCUUGGCCACAGGUGCUUUAUGCACCGAGCCUGUCUCUAGCCCCGCCUCUAUACUUCCUAAUGAGUUCCAUAGGUGGCAAGUGCUAGGAAAAGUUCAGGAGAUGGAGAGAAGUGGUCGCCUGGAGAGGUCAGUGGUGUCCUUGUGGAGGGAGCAGAUUUGAUCUGAGGCCUCCAAACAUAUAGAUGUAGGAGGGUCCAUAACAGUAGUUUUCUACCUGUGGGUCAAGACCCUCUUUGGUGUCAAAUGACCCUUUCACAGGGGUCAUUCUAAGACCAUC